GACGAACGCUGGCGGCGUGCCUAAUACAUGCAAGUAGAACGCUGAAGGAGGAGCUUGCUUCUCUGGAUGAGUUGCGAACGGGUGGGUAACGCGUAGGUAACCUGCCUGGUAGUGGGGGAUAACUAUUGGAAACGAUAGCUAAUACCGCAUAAUAGCAGUUGUUGCAUGAUAACGGUUGGAAAGGUGCAAUUGCACCGCUACCAGAGGGACCUGCGUUGUAUUAGCUAGUUGGUGGGGUAACGGCUCACCAAGGCGACGAUACAUAGCCGACCGGAGAGGGGGGUCGGCCACACUGGGACUGAGACACGGCCCAGACUCCUACGGGAGGCAGCAGUAGGGAAUCUUCGGCAAUGGACGGGAGUCUGACCGAGCAACGCCGCGUGAGUGAAGGAGGUUGUCCGAUCGUAAAGCUCUGUUGUAAGAGAAGAACGAGGGUGAGAGUGGAAAGUUCACACUGUGACGGUAGCUUAACAGAAAGGGACGGCUAACUACGUG
RNAcentral lists this ribosomal RNA (495 nucleotides) under uncultured bacterium. RNAcentral's name for it is "partial 16S ribosomal RNA". It matches the Rfam family "Bacterial small subunit ribosomal RNA", at positions 28 to 507 of the family's 1533-position model. The record is from RNAcentral.